AUUUCUUUGUCCAAAAGUUUGAACCAAGGUAGCACGUUGGAGCAAUGGAAGAAUUCCCCUCUCAAUAGCUUUUUCUUCUUGAUAGUGAAAACAAGCACCAAAAUCAUGUGGCACAAUAAAGAAGUGAUCAGCUCCCUCUGUCCUAUUCCAGUAAGGCCAGUUAGAAGAAAUAAGUUGUAUUGCACUCCUCAUCAUACGUGGUGACUUGAAGGGUAAAGGA
This 220-nucleotide unclassified non-coding RNA is filed under the name Hevea brasiliensis (rubber tree). The record is from RNAcentral. Lineage: Eukaryota; Viridiplantae; Streptophyta; Magnoliopsida; Malpighiales; Euphorbiaceae.